This 640-nucleotide ribosomal RNA is filed under the name uncultured bacterium. RNAcentral describes it as "bacterial SSU rRNA". It matches the Rfam family "Bacterial small subunit ribosomal RNA", at positions 202 to 842 of the family's 1533-position model. The record is from RNAcentral.
GAAAGAUUCAUCGGAAGAGGAUGGGCAUGCGGCGCAUUAGCUAGACGGCGGGGUAACGGCCCACCGUGGCGACGAUGCGUAGGGGUUCUGAGAGGAAGGUCCCCCACACUGGUACUGAGACACGGACCAGACUCCUACGGGAGGCAGCAGUGAGGAAUAUUGGUCAAUGGGAGAGAUCCUGAACCAGCCAAGCCGCGUGAGGGAAGACGGCCCUAUGGGUUGUAAACCUCUUUUGUCGGAGAACAAAACCCGGGACGUGUCCCGGACUGCGUGUAUCCGAAGAAAAAGCAUCGGCUAACUCCGUGCCAGCAGCCGCGGUAAUACGGAGGAUGCGAGCGUUAUCCGGAUUUAUUGGGUUUAAAGGGUGCGUAGGCGGUCCGUUAAGUCAGCGGUAAAAUUGCGGGGCUCAACCCCGUCGAGCCGUUGAAACUGGCAGACUUGAGUUGGCGAGAAGUACGCGGAAUGCGCGGUGUAGCGGUGAAAUGCAUAGAUAUCGCGCAGAACUCCGAUUGCGAAGGCAGCGUACCGGCGCCAGACUGACGCUGAGGCACGGAAGCGUGGGGAUCGAACAGGAUUAGAUACCCUGGUAGUCCACGCAGUAAACGAUGAAUGCUGGUUGUCCGGGUCGAAUGAGAUCUGG